GAUGAACGCUAGCUACAGGCUUAACACAUGCAAGUCGAGGGGAAACGACAUCGAAAGCUUGCUUUUGAUGGGCGUCGACCGGCGCACGGGUGAGUAACGCGUAUCCAACCUGCCCAUCACUUGGGAAUAACCUUGCGAAAGUAAGACUAAUACCCAAUGAUAUCCCACGAAGGCAUCGGAAUGGGAUUAAAGAUUUAUCGGUGAUGGAUGGGGAUGCGUCUGAUUAGCUUGUUGGCGGGGUAACGGCCCACCAAGGCAACGAUCAGUAGGGGUUCUGAGAGGAAGGUCCCCCACAUGGGAACUGAGACACGGUCCAAACUCCUACGGGAGGCAGCAGUGAGGAAUAUUGGUCAAUGGGCGAGAGCCUGAACCAGCCAAGUAGCGUGCAGGAAGACGGCCCUAGGGGUUGUAAACUGCUUUUAUAAGGGAAUAAAGUGGGUCACGUGUGACUUUUUGCAUGUACCUUAUGAAUAAGGACCGGCUAAUUCCGUG
This 492-nucleotide ribosomal RNA is filed under the name uncultured bacterium. RNAcentral describes it as "partial 16S ribosomal RNA". It matches the Rfam family "Bacterial small subunit ribosomal RNA", at positions 28 to 507 of the family's 1533-position model. The record is from RNAcentral.